This 30-nucleotide non-coding RNA is filed under the name Mus musculus (house mouse). The record is from RNAcentral. Lineage: Eukaryota; Metazoa; Chordata; Mammalia; Rodentia; Muridae.
UCUCAGAUUGUCAUUUGGAGACUCCCCAGU